UUGACAGGUUGAGUUUACAUUUUGACCGUGGACUAUCAUGUGAUUGAAAGAGCACCAAAAAUCGGAAUACAAUUGAACGUGGCCAUUGUGUAACGGCCUUUAAAAUUUUGCUACAUAUCUUCAUUCCAUGCAUCAUGCAUCUCCAUCAUGUUACAUCCGCACUGCGUUGAAAUCUGAACUAAACAGCAGAGAAAUAGCUGUCUUGUUGGAGGAAGAUCGUGAGAGUCUUUACCUGGUCAUUUGAUGUCAUUUCGAGAAGAAUUGAAAAGAACAGUCGUCUAAUUAUAUUACCAUAUCAAGAUGAACAUGGCAAGUGCCGGUUUAACGCGACAGGAAGUCAUGGUGCACUUAGCUAGAUUGACUUUCUUCGCAGCACUUGGUUUCGUCAGCAUGAGAUGGCUCAUGAAUCAACUCGAUCCUACUAGAGGUUCUAAACAGAAAGCCAAAAAGAAGGCUCGAGAAAAAUUACGCAAGAUGAUAGAAAAUGACAACUAUAACAACAAGCAAUAUGUUGAUAUAAAUCAACUAACAGAAUAUGAAACAGUUAUAGCCAAUAAUUUGGUAGAUCCAAAUGACAUCAAGGUAUCUUGGAAUAACAUUGCAGGUUUGGAUAGUGUUAUUCAAGAACUGCAAGAAACUGUUAUAUUGCCUAUACAGAGAAAAGAAUUAUUUGAGGAUUCUCAACUGAUUCAAGCACCCAAGGGAGUAUUAUUGUAUGGUCCGCCAGGUUGCGGUAAAACUAUGAUUGCCAAGGCUACUGCCCGGGAGGUAAAGACACGCUUCAUAAAUCUGGAUGUGAGCACUUUGACUGACAAGUGGUAUGGAGAAAGUCAAAGAUUAACUGCUGCUGUUUUUUCCCUGGCUGUAAAACUGCAGCCGUGCAUUAUUUUUAUUGAUGAAAUAGAUUCUUUUUUGAGAUCGCGCAAUUCUCAAGAUCAUGAAGCCACGGCGAUGAUGAAGGCUCAGUUUAUGUCUUUAUGGGAUGGUUUGAUAACUGAUUCCGAUUGUACAGUGAUGAUAAUGGGAGCUACUAAUAGACCGCAGGAUUUGGAUAAAGCAAUUCUGCGGCGUAUGCCAGCGACUUUUUACAUCGGUUUGCCGAAUGAGCAACAACGACUCGAAAUAUUGCGGUUGAUUUUAAGAAACGAGCCGAUCGCAAGUAACGUAGACAUCCCGAAAGUGGCAAAGAAUACUGAAGGAUUCUCUGGAUCAGAUCUGCAAGAACUUUGUCGGGAAGCAUCUAUUUAUCGUAUCAGAGACUACCUGUCUACGCACGAUGGAGAAAGACUUCAAAACAGUACAAGUGACGAUGAAGUGUAUCAUGAUACUGUGCGACCUAUCACAAUGGAGGACCUGCAAAAAUCGUUCACUAAAAUGAGAACAGCAAAGCUGCAAACAGGCACACUUACUAUACCUAUGUUACAAGGAUGUUGAGAUACUAGAGAACGAUGAGAUACUAGAAAAUGACAUUGAUAUUAUCGGUUUCAUCAGUUUUUCUAAUCAUCUGUUUGAAUCGCAUCCAUCGUUGGUUAUUCGCCAUCUGAAAGUUAAGAUUGUAUGAGAUAAAUUUUUAAGAUGACGCUUUAAGAUAAGCUGUAAUAAGUAUAUAAAUGUCUAAAAUUAAUGCGUAUAUUAAAUGAUAUAUUGUCAUUCAAAAAACUCGUAGUAGGGAAUAAAGUCGCGUAACUUUACACAUUUAGAAAUUGCGCAAUCUAUACAAUGUAAACGCGCGCGUGUAAUUUCUUUUAUUUUUAUAAUUAAAUAGUUCUUUGGAUCACAAAAGUUUCUAAAAGCUCUUUGUCGAGAAACAUUUAUUUUUGUUAUAUCAGAGUUUAUCUUUACAGUACUCAGCUUCAGCACAGAACGCAACUGUUCUUUGAUACAACAAUUAGACACUUCCUAACAAAAGCUUUUGCAAAUUUAACUUAAAGUCAGGAUGUUUAUGUUGUUCGUGAUCAAUUUCUUUCUUAAAAUCACCGGUAAUUAUCUUUGCCGAUUCAACUUAUCUUAAGUCGUUGCAACUUAUUUUGAUAUAAUCAUAUCGGUGUUAUAUAUAUGUUUAAAGUUAAUAAAUUUUAUAAAUUUUUUUUCUAUAAAUUUAACAAUUUGUAGUUCUUUUCUUGUCAAAAUCUUAUUUUGUGCAUGUAUACGUACUGUGUACAUGCGAUGUUUUUUACGUAUACAUGCACGUGUAGUAUAUUACAUAAAUUUACAUAAUCAUGAUUUCUUACAUAUACAUAUGCAUUUUGUAUGCUGGUCACGCGAUAAAUUAAUGUACAAUGUAUAUUUGUCAUAUUCUUGCACUAGUUUUAUUAUUAACUGAAACUGCAGAAUACAAUGUAAUCAUGUGAUUUUUUCCUUAAAUAUAUUAAGUUUGAUUUAUUGUUA
Molecule: RNA transcript, 2388 nt
Organism: Pseudomyrmex gracilis
Lineage: Eukaryota; Metazoa; Arthropoda; Insecta; Hymenoptera; Formicidae
Gene name: ATPase family AAA domain-containing protein 1-B-like
Exons: 9
Source: RefSeq, a predicted model, not a curated record